CCUACGGGUGGCUGCAGUGGGGGAUAUUGCACAAUGGGGGAAACCCUGAUGCAGCGACGCCGCGUGUGGGAAGACGGUCCUCUGGAUUGUAAACCACUGUCGCCAGGGACGAAGAUGACGGUACCGGGGGAGGAAGCACCGGCUAACUACGUGCCAGCAGCCGCGGUAAUACGGAGGGAGCGAGCGUUGGCCGGAAGUACGGGGUGUAAAGGGAGCGUAGGCGGGACGGCAAGUUGGGUGUCAAAUCUACCGGCUCAACCGGUAGCCGCACUCAAAACUGCAGUUCUUGAGUGAAGUAGAGGCAGGCGGCAUUCCUAGUGUAGCGGUUAAAUGCGUAGAUAUUAGGCGGAACCCCAGUGGCGAUGGCGGCCUGCUGGUCUUUUACUGACGCUGAGGCUCGAAAGUGUGGGGAGCAAACAGGAUUAGAUACCCUGGUAGUC
This 440-nucleotide ribosomal RNA is filed under the name uncultured bacterium. RNAcentral's name for it is "partial 16S ribosomal RNA". It matches the Rfam family "Bacterial small subunit ribosomal RNA", at positions 338 to 795 of the family's 1533-position model. The record is from RNAcentral.